Molecule: ribosomal RNA, 411 nt
Filed under: uncultured bacterium
Lineage: Bacteria
Description: bacterial SSU rRNA
Rfam family: Bacterial small subunit ribosomal RNA
Source: RNAcentral
GAAGGCCGUUCGGGUUAGUAAAGCUACUUUCAGUCGUGAGGAAGGUAGUGUAGUUAAUAGCUGCAUUAUUUGACGUUAGCGACAGAAGAAGCACCGGCUAACUCCGUGCCAGCAGCCGCGGUAAUACGGGAGGGUGCGAGACGUUAAGUACGGUAAUUACGUGGGACGUAAAGCGCAUGCAGGUGGUUUAGUUAAGUCAGAUGUAGAAACGGCCCCGGGGCUACCAACCGUACGGAAUAGCUAUUUAGAAACGUGGCAGACUAGAGUACUGUAGAGGGGGUAGAAUUUCAGGUGUAGCGGUGAAAUGCGUAGAGAUCUGAAGGAAUACCAGUGGCGAAGGCGGCCCCCUGGACAAAGACUGACGCUCAGAUGCGAAAGCGUGGGGAGCAAACAGGAUUAGAUACCCUGGAG